CUUAAUUCCCCCCACUCCUCGUCCACCAUAGUAGGAAGCAUCCACUGUGGGCCACUUCUUGGAAGGCAAAGGCUGCUGUUCUUCUUCCUUGACGCUGCCCUGAAGACCAGGACUACUAAGCCACAAGUGGCCCUUCCAGGUGAUGGAUGUCCAAGCCUCAUGUGCAGGAGAGAAGGGCAGGAACUGAGGAAGGAUCAGUAUUCCACAGGAGGCUCACCAUAUACCAUCAAGUGGAGGUGAGGUGAUUAAUAGGAACCUCCCUGGAUUUCUGUUGGGCCUGUGCUGUGGAGAAUGAGAACAAUUACUGAUCUGUUAGCAAAGAAAUCGUGUUGAGAGCAAUGUGUGAUGGUUGGCGAAAGAGAUUCUAUUCUCUCUGUGCUCCACGCCCAAAUGGAAAAGCUGCUCUCCAGUCACACUCAAGGUGAGACACAUUUAAAGGCCCACUUGCACAACACAUUCUCAACACUGUGGGCUUGUGUCUCCCUCUGCAAAUUCCAGCUGUCCUGUGUAAUACAAAAGGAAUUAAAGGAGAGCAAACAUGUGAGAGUAGGAAAUCUAUGUAUUAAAUUGGAACAGUCACUGGCUGCACCAGAGUGUGGUGUCCCCCAGAAGCAGCUUUUAUUUUAUCUUUUCUAUAACCUGUGCUCACACUUAGCAGGAUGUUUACAGUGCCUCACUCCUAGGUCUAAGUGGGACACUGGCCUCUGUCUCCCUGGAUGAACAAGAGCUAAGAGCCUGCGCUCCUCACUCAGGCCCCAGAGUUACAGAGCAUUAGUACCCCUACAGGGCUGUAAGCUCUCUCUACACCCAGCUGAAGGGCCGAGCUUGUGCCAUGUGCUCCCUCAGUCCUACCCAGGGGAGAGCCGUGCCAGAAUGGGACCCCGGGUGCCUGCCACACCUGGCCCUCAGGACAUGGUGCCUACUGUGAGCAGGGCUCUGAGGGCAGGAAGCCUCCAGCACUUGGAAAGACACAGCUUGGCACAGGAAAGUGGAAGCAGAGGUUCUCUGCUCUGAGGUCUUGCAGUGCACAGCCCAAAGAGAAACGGGGUGUGGGGAUUUUAUAAGGAGUUAUGAGUCC
Molecule: long non-coding RNA, 1078 nt
Organism: Catharus ustulatus (Swainson's thrush)
Lineage: Eukaryota; Metazoa; Chordata; Aves; Passeriformes; Turdidae
Exons: 4
Source: RefSeq, a predicted model, not a curated record